RNAcentral lists this ribosomal RNA (478 nucleotides) under uncultured bacterium. RNAcentral describes it as "partial 16S ribosomal RNA". It matches the Rfam family "Bacterial small subunit ribosomal RNA", at positions 28 to 523 of the family's 1533-position model. The record is from RNAcentral.
GACGAACGCUGGCGGCGUGCUUAACACAUGCAAGUCGAACGGUAAGGCCCUUCGGGGUACACGAGUGGCGAACGGGUGAGUAACACGUGGGUGAUCUGCCCUGCACUUCGGGAUAAGCCUGGGAAACUGGGUCUAAUACCGGAUAGGACCACUGCCUGCAUGGGUGGUGGUGGAAAGCUUUUGCGGUGUGGGAUGGGCCCGCGGCCUAUCAGCUUGUUGGUGGGGUGAUGGCCUACCAAGGCGACGACGGGUAGGCGGCCUGAGAGGGUGACCGGCCACACUGGGACUUAGAUACGGCCCAGACUCCUACCGGAGGCAGCAGGGGGGAAUAUUGAACAAUGGGCGCAAGCCUGGUGCAGCGACGCCGCGUGAGGGAUGACGGCCUUCGGGUUGUAAACCUCUUUCAGCACCGACGAAGCGCAAGUGACGGUAGGUGCAGAAGAAGGACCGGCCAACUACGUGCCAGCCGCCACCGUAA